GGCGGAGGUACUGGUGGUCGAGCGUCAGAAAAGUUAACCCAAACCACGUAGUCAUAUCGAGUCGAUAAAAAUCACAUCCUGACCACACUGGAUCGAGCCACGACGUACAUAUAUAGAGCAAGACGACCUACAAGAAGCUUGAUACCAAAGACAAGCCAAAAAGCCCGACAAACAAUAACAGAUGUGCUCGCUUACAUGUUGCACUCGAUCCCACAGUAGCACCCGUGAAGAUCAUGG
This 237-nucleotide unclassified non-coding RNA is filed under the name Hevea brasiliensis (rubber tree). Lineage: Eukaryota; Viridiplantae; Streptophyta; Magnoliopsida; Malpighiales; Euphorbiaceae. The record is from RNAcentral.